GCAGAUCGCUUGCAGCUUGCUAGCUGUGUGGGCUGGGAGGUCUGGUAGGGCUGAGCUUGCAAGAGGAUCAACAUGCCUUUGGCUAGAGAUUUACUACAUCCGUCCUUGGAAGAGGAAAAGAAAAAACAUAAAAAGAAACGCCUAGUACAAAGUCCAAAUUCUUACUUUAUGGAUGUAAAAUGUCCAGGUUGUUCAACAGUGUUGUGCCAGCCUACAGGAGGAAAGGCCAGACUCACAGAAGGGUGUUCAUUUAGAAGAAAGCAACACUAAUGAUUCAAACAGCUUCCUGAAUUUUAAUUUUGUGUUGUCUCACAGAAAGCCUUAUCAUAAAUUCCAUAAUUCUAAUUAAUUUACCAAGAUAAUGUAAUUACAUUUGGUUUUGUAAGGUAUACAGCAGUAAUCUCCUAUUUUGGUGUCAGUUUUUCAAUAAAGUUUUGAUUAUGGGCAAA
RNAcentral lists this long non-coding RNA (449 nucleotides) under Homo sapiens (human). RNAcentral describes it as "HSALNT0221285". The record is from RNAcentral. Lineage: Eukaryota; Metazoa; Chordata; Mammalia; Primates; Hominidae.